CCAAUAGCGUAUAUUAAAGUUGUUGCAGUUAAAAAGCUCGUAGUUGAAUUUCGGGGUUCAUACGUUGGUCGGGCUUUUGGGUCUGUACUGGCGUAAUGGAUUCCUACCUUCUGAAUAACCGGCAUGCCAUUAAUUUGGUGCGCCGGGGAAGCAGGACUGUUACCUUGAAAAAAUUAGAGUGCUUAAAGCAGGCUAUCGCCUGACUCCAUUAGCAUGGAAUAAUGAAAUAGGACGGCAUGGUUCUAUUUUGUUGGUUUCUAGGAUCACCGUAAUGAUUAAUAGGGAUAGUUGGGGGCAUUAGUAUUCAAUUGUCAGAGGUGAAAUUCUUGGAUUUAUUGAAGACUAACUUCUGCGAAAGCAUUUGCCAAGGAUGUUUUCAUUAAUCAAGAACGAAAGUUAGGGGAUCGAAGACGAUCAGAUACCGUCGUAGUCUUAACCAUAAACUAUGCCGACUAGGGAUCGGACGAUGUUAAUUUUUAAUGACUCGUUCGGUGCCUUACG
RNAcentral lists this ribosomal RNA (501 nucleotides) under uncultured Glomeromycotina. RNAcentral's name for it is "partial small subunit ribosomal RNA". It matches the Rfam family "Eukaryotic small subunit ribosomal RNA", at positions 591 to 1092 of the family's 1831-position model. The record is from RNAcentral. Lineage: Eukaryota; Fungi; Glomeromycota.